This 269-nucleotide ribosomal RNA is filed under the name uncultured soil bacterium. RNAcentral's name for it is "partial 16S ribosomal RNA". It matches the Rfam family "Bacterial small subunit ribosomal RNA", at positions 26 to 282 of the family's 1533-position model. The record is from RNAcentral.
AGAAUCAACGCUGGCGGCGUGCCUAACACAUGCAAGUCGUACGCGAAAGGGGAGCAAUCCCUGAAUAGAGUGGCAAACGGGUGAGUAACACGUGGGUGACCUGCCUCAGAGUGGGGGAUAACGUCCCGAAAGGGACGCUAAUACCGCAUAACAUCCUGCCCUUAAAAGGGUGGAGAUCAAAGCCGGAGAUCGCAAGACCUGGCGCUUGGAGAGGGGCCCGCGUCUGAUUAGCUAGUUGGUAGGGUAAUGGCCUACCAAGGCGACGAUCA